UACAGAGGUCUCAAGCGUUGUUCGGAUUCAUUGGGCGUAAAGGGUGCGUAGGCGGCCCGGUAAGUCCGCUGUAAAAGUCAAAGGCUCAACCUUUGAAUGUCAGUGGAUACUGCCGGGCUAGAGUCCGGAAGAGGCGAGUGGAACUCCUGGUGUAGCGGUGGAAUGCGCAGAUAUCAGGAAGAACACCAACGGCGAAGGCAGCUCGCUGGGACGGUACUGACGCUGAGACGCGAAAGCGUGGGGAGCGAACAGG
Molecule: ribosomal RNA, 253 nt
Filed under: uncultured bacterium
Lineage: Bacteria
Description: partial 16S ribosomal RNA
Rfam family: Bacterial small subunit ribosomal RNA
Source: RNAcentral